CCCGAGCGUUAAUCAGAAUCACUGGGCUUAAAGCGUGCGCAGGCGGAAACGUCAGUGUCUUUGUGAAAUCCCACGGCUCAACCGUGGAAUUGCAGGGCAUACUGCGUUUCUUGAGGUCGGUAGAGGUCGCCGGAACUCUAGGUGUAGCGGUGAAAUGCGUAGAUAUCUAGAGGAACGCCGAAGGUGAAGACAGGCGACUGGGCCGAUUCUGACGCUCAGGCACGAAAGCGUGGGGAGCAAACAGGAUUAGAUACCCUGGUAGUCCACGCCGUAAACGUUGUGCACUAGAUCCUGGAGGUACUGACACCGUCGGGGUCGAAGAUAACUUGCUAAGUGCACCGCCUGGGGAGUACGGUCGCAAGGCUAAAACUCAAAGGAAUUGACGGGGGCUCACACAAGCGGUGGAGCAUGUGGCUUAAUUCGAGGCAACGCGAAGAACCUUACCUGGGUUUGACAUGCUUGGAUUAGCCUGUCGAAAGACAGGUGACGCUAAUUCUAGUGGAACUUGCACAGGUGCUGCAUGGCUGUCGUCAGCUCGUGCUGUGAAGUGUCGGGUUAAGUCCCUUAACGAGCGAAACCCCUGCCGCUAGUUGCCAUCAGGUCAAGCUGAGCACUCUAGCGGGACUGCCGGUGUCAAACCGGAGGAAAGGUGGGGAUGACGUCAAGUCCUCAUGGCCUUUAUGCCCAGGGAUGCACACGUGCUACAAUGGUAGGUACAACGCGACGCGAUGCCGCGAGGCGGAGCAAAUCGCAAAAAACCUGCCCCAGUUCGGAUCGCAGUCUGCAACUCGACUGCGUGAAGUUGGAAUCGCUAGUAAUCGCGUAUCAGCUAUGACGCGGUGAUACGUUCCUGAGCCUUGUACACACCGCCCGUCAAGUCAUGGAAGCCGGGAGCACCCGAAGUCGCACCGCCUCAGGUGUGCCGACG
RNAcentral lists this ribosomal RNA (928 nucleotides) under uncultured organism. Its description in RNAcentral is "bacterial SSU rRNA". It matches the Rfam family "Bacterial small subunit ribosomal RNA", at positions 533 to 1461 of the family's 1533-position model. The record is from RNAcentral.